Molecule: ribosomal RNA, 381 nt
Filed under: uncultured fungus
Lineage: Eukaryota; Fungi
Description: SSU rRNA
Rfam family: Eukaryotic small subunit ribosomal RNA
Source: RNAcentral
CGUGUGGUUCUAUUUUGUUGGUUUCUAGGACCGCCGUAAUGAUUAAUAGGGACAGUCGGGGGUGUCAGUAUUCAAUUGUCAGAGGUGAAAUUCUUGGAUUUAUUGAAGACUAACUACUGCGAAAGCAUUCACCAAGGAUGUUUUCAUUAAUCAGUGAACGAAAGUUAGGGGAUCGAAGACGAUCAGAUACCGUCGUAGUCUUAACCAUAAACUAUGCCGACUAGGGAUCGGGCGAUGUAUUUUUUGACUCGCUCGGCACCUUACGAGAAAUCAAAGUUUUUGGGUUCUGGGGGGAGUAUGGUCGCAAGGCUGAAACUUAAAGAAAUUGACGGAAGGGCACCACCAGGAGUGGAGCCUGCGGCUUAAUUUGACUCAACACGG